GAGUUUGAUCCUGGCUCAGAUUGAACGCUGGCGGCAUGCCUUACACAUGCAAGUCGAACGGCAGCACGGGAGCAAUCCUGGUGGCGAGUGGCGAACGGGUGAGUAAUAUAUCGGAACGUGCCCAGUCGUGGGGGAUAACGCAGCGAAAGCUGUGCUAAUACCGCAUACGAUCUCUGGAUGAAAGCGGGGGACUCGCAAGAGCCUCGCGCGAUUGGAGCGGCCGAUAUCAGAUUAGCUAGUUGGUGGGGUAAAGGCUCACCAAGGCGACGAUCUGUAGCUGGUCUGAGAGGACGACCAGCCACACUGGAACUGAGACACGGUCCAGACUCCUACGGGAGGCAGCAGUGGGGAAUUUUGGACAAUGGGCGCAAGCCUGAUCCAGCAAUGCCGCGUGCAGGAUGAAGGCCUUCGGGUUGUAAACUGCUUUUGUACGGAACGAAACGGUUCUCUCUAAUAAAGAGGGCUAAUGACGGUACCGUAAGAAUAAGCACCGGCUAACUACGUGCCAGCAGCCGCGGUAAUAC
RNAcentral lists this ribosomal RNA (524 nucleotides) under uncultured beta proteobacterium. RNAcentral's name for it is "SSU rRNA". It matches the Rfam family "Bacterial small subunit ribosomal RNA", at positions 9 to 526 of the family's 1533-position model. The record is from RNAcentral. Lineage: Bacteria; Pseudomonadati; Pseudomonadota; Betaproteobacteria.